Molecule: unclassified non-coding RNA, 997 nt
Filed under: Hevea brasiliensis (rubber tree)
Lineage: Eukaryota; Viridiplantae; Streptophyta; Magnoliopsida; Malpighiales; Euphorbiaceae
Source: RNAcentral
CAAAACAAUGCCCUUGCCUCCACUACAAAAACUUUUUAGCCAGAGAGAUGCUGCCUUCCCCAUCCCACCUACUCUGGUAAUUUAAACAAAGCUUAUGCCUUCUAUUCUAGUUGUAAUCCCUAAUAAUAACUUAACUGAAAAGUAUUCGCCUUUUAUAACAAUCUUUCUUGCAUUGCAUCUCUAAGGGUCUUGUCGAGACCUAAAUUCACAGCUCAGAACCCUCAGCUGACAACCGAGUACUAGCCUAUGUCUAACCACUGUUUUCAUUCACCAGUCACCAGGAAAAAAAGAGAAAGGUGACCCACUCCAACUUUACUCUUCCAAAUUUGAGAAAUGUCCUUGAUCUGCAUUUGCAUCAGUCUUGAUAACUUCUAAAACAGUUGCAUUGCAAAAGAAGCACCUCUCACCGUUCAGAAGGUGUCUUGAAAUGCAGCCGAAGCAAGAAACGUGCGAACAAGGGACAAAUUGAGCAUUUGCUUGACUCGUAUAACAGAUGCAGCAGAUACUGUCAUCAUAAUCUGUUUCACCCCCAUAGGCUAUUCUCUCAACUUCCACUACCUCUGAACGACAGAUAAGCAGACCUGAAAAUAUCUCCAGUUGCCUGAUUUUUUCCAGAUAAUCAUCUCCUCUGAAUAAACUAGCCCAAUUGUACUCCAAAAGAUACUGAAACCCAGAGACUACAGUAUCAGGGCAGUCCAUGCUGGCAAAAAUCCCAACCAUGUCAUUAUCUCUAGUAUCCGACUCCCCGCUAGCCUCCAGCAAAUUAAGAAUGAUUCCAGCAAGGGGUGCCAAAAUCAUGCCUCUGUUUGGUUUCUCUGGGGGCUGACCUGGACGUCUUACGAAAAGGUCAAAAAGUUCUUGAUCAGCUGCAGAAAUUAAGUGGUUUAGUAUAAAGACGAUCACUUCAGUCAGCCUUCGCAAAUUUGUAUCUGCCCCAGAGAUAAACGCUUGAGGUAUCUCAUGGGUACAAAAUUCUAAAAUCCUUGCAAGAUUGCAG